RNAcentral lists this transfer RNA (76 nucleotides) under Candidatus Uhrbacteria bacterium CG_4_9_14_3_um_filter_50_9. RNAcentral's name for it is "tRNA-Thr". It matches the Rfam family "tRNA". From Rfam's summary of the family: Transfer RNA (tRNA) molecules are approximately 80 nucleotides in length. Their secondary structure includes four short double-helical elements and three loops (D, anti-codon, and T loops). Lineage: Bacteria; Candidatus Uhriibacteriota. The record is from RNAcentral.
GCCGUUGUAGCUCAGUUGGUAGAGCACAUCCAUGGUAAGGAUGAGGUCUCGGGUUCAAUUCCCGACAACGGCUCCA